UGGUGGAGUGAUUUGUCUGGUUAAUUCCGAUAACGAACGAGACCUUAACCUGCUAAAUAGUACAGCCAACCUUGGUUGGUUUGGACUUCUUAGAGGGACUGACUACGUUUAGUGGUCGGAAGUUUGAGGCAAUAACA
RNAcentral lists this ribosomal RNA (137 nucleotides) under uncultured eukaryote. Its description in RNAcentral is "partial 18S ribosomal RNA". It matches the Rfam family "Eukaryotic small subunit ribosomal RNA", at positions 1299 to 1458 of the family's 1831-position model. The record is from RNAcentral.